CAGAAACGGCGUCCCAGUUCGGAUUGCAGCCUGCAACUCGGCUGCAUGAAGCUGGAAUCGCUAGUAAUCGCGGAUCAGAAUGCCGCGGUGAAUACGUUCCCGGGUCUUGUACACACCGCCCGUCACACCAUGGGAGUCGGAAAUGCCCGAAGCCGGUGACUCAACCUUUAAGGAGAGAGCCGUCGAAGGCAGGUCUGAUAACUGGGGUGAAGUCGUAACAAGGUAGC
RNAcentral lists this ribosomal RNA (227 nucleotides) under uncultured bacterium. RNAcentral's name for it is "partial 16S ribosomal RNA". It matches the Rfam family "Bacterial small subunit ribosomal RNA", at positions 1275 to 1500 of the family's 1533-position model. The record is from RNAcentral.